Molecule: non-coding RNA, 2612 nt
Organism: Sus scrofa (pig)
Lineage: Eukaryota; Metazoa; Chordata; Mammalia; Artiodactyla; Suidae
Source: RefSeq, a predicted model, not a curated record
AAAAAAAAAAAAAAGACAGCAAGUGCUUUUUUAUCCUGUUCAAGGUUUCAAGACGCUCAAGUAGUUAAGUCUUUUCCUCUGAGUGAAAUGAAAGCCAACAGCAGGAGGAGAUCACCCGGGCAGAACCAUCUGUUUUCAGGUUUCCUUGUGUCCUAUCAGUAUCCCUGCCAGACGGGUUCCAAUGGUCACUUUCUUAUAACAGCACUGAUAUGCCAAUCGAGGAAGAAAGUUUGGUGGACAUGGCAAAAGUGGCAGCCUUGAGAUGUGCCUCAUAGACCUCUAACUACAAGGAGUGUGGCUAAAUGCAUUGUCACUCCUGCUGCAAAAAGCCCAGGAGAAUGUCUAAACCAGGUUUUCACAAAGGAAAAUAUAUAAAGGCUCAGCCAAAAACCUGUGAGUAUUUGUUUUAGAAAUCUUCCUAAAUAAAUAACUCCUAAUCAUUUAUUUUCAUUAUCAAGAAACUUUUGAUUACUUUAUCAGUGUGGACUUUAUGAUACUUGAAAGAUUUUUGUCUACCUCAAUCUAUGCAAUUAAGCAAUUUUUGAAAAUAUUUUAUUAAUGACUCAGACGUAAAUGCCAAUAAGAAAUUCUAAACAGCAUGAUUUAAUCAAUACAGCGCUAGCAAAGACGAAAAAAUAGUGCUUUACUUAUCUUAUAUUGCUUUUACAUAGGCAAAUGUUUAUUUCUUUUUAUCUUGUGGAAAUACUAAAAUUAUUUUUCAGCUGUCCCACUGAUAGAUUCUUGUAACACUUGAGUCUUGGGGAACCAAAUUUAGAAAAUGCUUCUUUAAAAACUCUGUUGGUUUUCUUCAUUAUCUUGACCUCAAAGAAUGCCUUCUAACAUAGUGCAAACCACAACAGUACCCCAGUGUACCCUCAUAGUAGUAUUAUGGCUCUCUGGAUGGGGAAACAUCUUCCUCUGGAAAAAUAGGCUAAUACUUCUGAUUAUCUUCCAAUGUAAGAAGUAUAAGCAAGUAAGUACUGCAUUCCAAAUGUGGAGAUGUUUUUGUAUGUUACAACUGUAUGAUUUUAAAGCAUUGUGACCUGAAUUAUAAUAUAUGAAUAUAAAAGAAAGCCAGAGAACCAUUAUCAAUUAUUGAAAAAGUUGCAGGAUAUAAAACAUGAUGUAUAUGACAUGUCUUUUUUUCAUCUGUGAACAUGUUUCUUUUACACUAAGUGGAAAACAAUUUGGAGAGAAAACAAAGACCCCAUUAUUAGUCUUGGUGGAGAACGGAAUGAAUUGCUGAACUGCUAGUCCUAUAUUCAUUCAAAUUCAAGGUCCUCGAUUUUUGCGAUGGUCAAAUACACAGAGUGAUGCAAAAGAUAUUGAAAGAUCUUUCCAGAUUAGAAGAAAGAAAAGUAGAAGCAGGAUGAAGAGCUUAUAGAUGAGUAGGCAAAGAAAGGGAUCCCAAAUGGAAGGUUCUGGGGAACAAAGGUACUGCAGGUCCCCAGUAGUCUGAUGAAGCCAAUGCGAGGCAAUGCAAUGACUCUUGAAAGUAAGCUUCAUGGAUAGUGUUUCCGGUCAAGACUGUUCCUGCACCAACACAAAUUUCAUACCAAGCUCGACUGUAAAUUAUUUUCAAACCUAAUCUCUUUUUUCCACAUCUACUCUAAAUGAGCCAUUCCAUCUGGUCUUAGUUUUAGUGUUGCACAACCCUACAUUUGCUUUCCUGUCCUCUCUAUUCCUUUUGGAAAAGGGUGACUAUGUCAACAGCUAUAAAGGAGGGUGUGUAUGUUUGUGUGUGUUUGAAGACAUUUAUCUGUAUAUGUAGUUCUGAUACAGAAAUUGCAGCAAGCCAGAUGCUUCUGGGUAAUGUUUAAUCCCAUCAAUCAAGAUUAUUUUUUAGCUGCUCUUUGUUAAGAUAAUGGAGCUAGGUAUUAAGAAGAGGAUACAUUUAAAACCUUCUAGGAGUUAUUAGUGAAGACAGCUUUUCUUCCCUAUGAUGGAAUGUUCCCCUAGAUCUUUAUUUGGUAUUGAUUUCUCCUGACUUCUAUCCUUUGGGCAACUACCUUCUCUCCACGUCUCUUCUGUAUAAUUCCUCCAUUCCAUACACUCUAGUUCCAAAGGGCACAUGGUGUCUAGGCAAACUACUUGACUUAGGAAUUGUAAGCUUACAGAAUUUAGUUAAAGGGCCUUCAAUAAUAUCUAUACCUGCACGGUGUUUUAAUAAACACAUUAAACUAGUGUUAACUUGUUUAAUCUGUAUGUGCUUAUGGAUUUUAAACAAACUUUUUAAAUUGAAAGAUUCUUUAAAUUUCAUAAUGCUUUACAGUUUUCAAAAAUUUCACAAACAUGAUUUCAUAUAAUACUAUAAUAAUUCUUUUAAUCCCCUACCCUUAUUUUGCCUUCCCCCCUUCCACUAGUAACCAUUGGUAACCACUAGUUUGUUCUCUAAAUCUGCGAGUCUGCUUCUUUUUUUGUUUUAUUCAUUAAUUUGUUAUAUUUUUAGAUUCCACAUAUAAGUGAUAUCAGUAUUUGUCUUUUUCAGUCUGACUUAUUUCACUUAGCAUAAUACCCUCCAAGCCCAUUAAUGUUGCUACAAAUUGCAAAUUUUUGUUAUAUUUUAUGGCUGAGUAGUAUUCCAUUGUGUGUGUGUGUUUAUGUGUGUGUGU